Molecule: ribosomal RNA, 440 nt
Filed under: uncultured bacterium
Lineage: Bacteria
Description: partial 16S ribosomal RNA
Rfam family: Bacterial small subunit ribosomal RNA
Source: RNAcentral
CCUAUGGGUGGCAGCAGUGGGGAAUAUUGCACAAUGGGGGAAACCCUGAUGCAGCAACGCCGCGUGAGUGAAGAAGGUUUUCGGUUUGUAAAGCUCUGUCAGCAGGGAAGAGGAUGACGGUAACUUAUUGAGAAGCCCCCGCUAACUACGUGCCAGCAGCCGCGGGAAAACGUAGGGGGCAAGCGUUAUCCGGAUUUACUGGGUGUAAAGGGAGCGUAGACGGUAGAACAAGUCUGUAGUGAAAUGCCGGGGCUUAACCUCGGAACUGCUUUUGAAACUGUGUAGCUAGAGUGCAGGAGAGGUAAGUGGAAUUCCUAGUGUAGCGGUGAAAUGCGUAGAGAUUAGGAGGAACACCAGUGGCGAAGGCGGCUUACUGGACUGUAACUGACGCUGAGGCUUGAGAGCGUGGGGAGCAAACAGGAUUAGAUACCCGGGUAGUC